RNAcentral lists this non-coding RNA (94 nucleotides) under uncultured Phascolarctobacterium sp. RNAcentral's name for it is "NiCo riboswitch". It matches the Rfam family "NiCo (Nickel/Cobalt) riboswitch aptamer". The record is from RNAcentral. Lineage: Bacteria; Bacillati; Bacillota; Negativicutes; Acidaminococcales; Acidaminococcaceae.
ACAGUACAAUCUGAUCAGGCGGUUAACCUCUUUGGUUUUUGCAGCCGGGCCCCUAUGGGCAGCAGACAAUGACAUGAUACGUCUGCGGGACAGU